Long non-coding RNA from Aedes aegypti (yellow fever mosquito), 1188 nucleotides. RefSeq lists it as uncharacterized. The record is from RefSeq and is a predicted model, not a curated record. The transcript is spliced from 3 exons. NCBI's taxonomy places the organism in Eukaryota, Metazoa, Arthropoda, Insecta, Diptera, Culicidae.
UGGCCUCUUUCUCAGCACUUUCCACGUCGAAAAAAAAGUCGGAGCUGGUUGUACUUGCCGGUCUAUACUCUAAAACAUCGAUGCAAAUCAUAACAACUCCCUGUUUUGUUUUGCUUUUCUUUUUCAUUUGACGUUUCUAUAGCAACACUAGUGUGCGUGUGGUUUAAAUCAAAGCACGUAGCCACAUUUGUGUUAAUCUCGGAUUUUCUGUAGCACACCAAAAUCGGCGCACUAAAGUUAAUACCGGGAUUAAAAUCGAAGAUAAUAUCGGUUGAUGCUUAGUAAAAUCGAGGAUAAUACUCGAUUGGCGUAUCAUCCUCCAUGGAGCUUACCACCAUAAGGUUUUGAUUCCACUGAGGUAAUUUACGCGACAGCCAUCGGGAGGAUCUUCCGGCUGCCUAAACAGAAUAAAACCAGUUCGAAAAUCAACACAAGCUUAACUUUUGGCUGCAGUUUGUAAUCAGCUUGUGUAAACAUGAGGACAAGCCGGCUAGAGUGGUUCCCUUGAAGGAGUUUCCGGCCAACGACAAAUGACAAUACCUUAGGAGAUAAGCUGUAAACAUAACUCAAAAUGGAUAGAAACAUUGACUGAUCUACCCAGCUGGGAUCAUCGGAUGAUUUUGAGAAAUUAGUGGCGAAAAUGAUAUUGCACAACUUGAGGAUGACGACGAGCUUGUACGACCUCGAUGCGGUUGAAACUGGUCAUGCUUUACCGUACCAACAAAAUGCAGGCUGGUAGCAGGUCUCUGAAAAGACUUGGUCUUUAUUAAGGCCUCUAAGAAGUACUCUAAAGUCAUCAAAAUGCUAAUUUCUUUUUUCCUCGAGAAAUAAUCCUCGUGUAUAAUUCUCCAUAGAUGCCUUCAGAUAUUCUUACGUCACUAUUCCACAGGUUCUUCAAGUAUUUCUUUACGGAUUUCUCUAUUUAAUACUUCAAUAACUCAAGUGAUUUCUUCAGAGGUUUCUUAUAGAAAACCAUCAGGAACUCCUCCUUACUACAGAAAUUUUCUAAUUAUAAUCUAGGUUUUCUUUCAACUAUUGUUCGAUAAAUUUCCUCACUUUGUACAGGAGCUCCAGAAAGGUUUAUUCUAGAUUAUUAAUUUACAUCACCAAACUAUGUUCAGCUACUGAGAUUUCAUUGGAAUCCGUAAAAUAUUGAGUUAACAAAUAAAACCAAAAUUAUUCUAGUAA